GCAGGCAGCGUGCUGGGGAGCACGUGAAAUCUGUGGGAGCACGAGGGAUCCCGCGGAGCACGUGCAAUCCCCGGGAGCAGGUGCAACCCCAGGGAGCCCGCAGAAUCUGGGGGAGCACGUGGAAUCCCGGGCUUGUGGGACCGGGGGCAUGGCUCCCUGACUUCCUGAAAUGAAAGCGCCGAAAGUGAAAUUCAAACUGGCUUUGGCAUGGAAAAAUAGCGGCCAUGAAGGAAGUUCGUAAAUAACUUCCAUGCUCUUUUUCUCCUUAAUGCUCACGAUCUCAAAAUACACAACCCAUCAUUCACAGCGGAGAGUGCCCCUGCUUCCUGGCUCCGAGUGUGGGCAUGGUAAGAAUACCCAACUCCGGGCUCUUUCAACAACGGAGGAAGAUAAACCCCGACAGUGUUUUUUCCAGCAGAGAGAGGAAGCGAGAGAAUGAAUCCCAAGCAGGCUCUGCACAGUCAGCGCGGAGCCAGGCGCGGGGCUUGAACCCACGAAACGUGAGAUCAUGACCUGAGCCAAAAGCAAGGGUCAGCCGCUCUACCGACUGAGCCACCCAGGUGCCCCGCCUUCUGGAAUCUGGAGAGCAGGCAAGGUGUCUUUUGUUAUGCUAAUGAGGAAGCCCCCCCCAGGUAACCUGAGGUUUUGGGCAGGUUGCCCCAAGAUUACGAUUACGUGGUUGGAACUUUCCACUUCCCUCCAGACUCCCAGGAGAGGAAAGGGGAUGCAGAUUGAAUUGUUACUAAUUGCUAAUGAUUUAGUCAAUUAUCCUACGUAAAGAAGCCUCCGUGAAAACAGGGUUCGGGAGAUCUUGCAGGUUGGGAG
Molecule: long non-coding RNA, 825 nt
Organism: Prionailurus viverrinus (fishing cat)
Lineage: Eukaryota; Metazoa; Chordata; Mammalia; Carnivora; Felidae
Exons: 2
Source: RefSeq, a predicted model, not a curated record